RNAcentral lists this ribosomal RNA (397 nucleotides) under uncultured bacterium. RNAcentral describes it as "partial 16S ribosomal RNA". It matches the Rfam family "Bacterial small subunit ribosomal RNA", at positions 360 to 774 of the family's 1533-position model. The record is from RNAcentral.
AAUAUUGGACAAUGGGCGCAAGCCUGAUCCAGCCAUGCCGCGUGAGUGAUGAAGGCCCNAGGGUUNUNAAGCUCUUUCACCGGUGNCGAUAAUGACGGUAACCGGAGAAGAAGCCCCGGCUAACUUCGUGCCAGCAGCCGCGGUAAUACGAAGGGGGCUAGCGGUGUUCGGAAUUACUGGGCGUAAAGCGCACGUAGGCGGAUCGGUCAGUUAGGGGUGAAAUCCCGGGGCUCAACCCCGGAACUGCCUUUAAUACUGCCGGUCUAGAGUCCGAGAGAGGUGAGUGGAAUUCCGAGUGUAGAGGUGAAAUUCGUAGAUAUUCGGAGGAACACCAGUGGCGAAGGCGGCUCACUGGCUCGGUACUGACGCUGAGGUGCGAAAGCGUGGGGAGCAAACA